AAAAGUUACAAAUUUGUAUGGAGCUGGAACGUUUGCCUGCGGUUGCCGCUAGGGGCGCUGUUCCAACUCCAUACAGAUGUGAGUUA
Molecule: microRNA precursor, 86 nt
Filed under: Bombyx mori (domestic silkworm)
Lineage: Eukaryota; Metazoa; Arthropoda; Insecta; Lepidoptera; Bombycidae
Description: mir-2807 microRNA precursor family
Rfam family: mir-2807 microRNA precursor family
Source: Rfam by way of RNAcentral